Molecule: ribosomal RNA, 809 nt
Filed under: Bacillus licheniformis
Lineage: Bacteria; Bacillati; Bacillota; Bacilli; Caryophanales; Bacillaceae
Description: bacterial SSU rRNA
Rfam family: Bacterial small subunit ribosomal RNA
Source: RNAcentral
GCCUAUACAUGACAAGUCGAGCGGACCGACGGGAGCUUGCUCCCUUAGGUUCAGCGGCGGACGGGUGAGUAACACGUGGGUAACCUGCCUGUAAGACUGGGAUAACUCCGGGAAACCGGGGCUAAUACCGGAUGCUUGAUUGAACCGCAUGGUUCAAUCAUAAAAGGUGGCUUUUAGCUACCACUUGCAGAUGGACCCGCGGCGCAUUAGCUAGUUGGUGAGGUAACGGCUCACCAAGGCGACGAUGCGUAGCCGACCUGAGAGGGUGAUCGGCCACACUGGGACUGAGACACGGCCCAGACUCCUACGGGAGGCAGCAGUAGGGAAUCUUCCGCAAUGGACGAAAGUCUGACGGAGCAACGCCGCGUGAGUGAUGAAGGUUUUCGGAUCGUAAAACUCUGUUGUUAGGGAAGAACAAGUACCGUUCGAAUAGGGCGGNACCUUGACGGUACCUAACCAGAAAGCCACGGCUAACUACGUGCCAGCAGCCGCGGUAAUACGUAGGUGGCAAGCGUUGUCCGGAAUUAUUGGGCGUAAAGCGCGCGCAGGCGGUUUCUUAAGUCUGAUGUGAAAGCCCCCGGCUCAACCGGGGAGGGUCAUUGGAAACUGGGGAACUUGAGUGCANAAGAGGAGAGUGGAAUUCCACGUGUAGCGGUGAAAUGCGUAGAGAUGUGGAGGAACACCAGUGGCGAAGGCGACUCUCUGGUCUGUAACUGACGCUGAGGCGCGAAAGCGUGGGGAGCGAACAGGAUUAGAUACCCUGGUAGUCCACGCCGUAAACGAUGAGUGCUAAGUGUUAGAGGGUUUCC